RNAcentral lists this ribosomal RNA (117 nucleotides) under Bacillus sp. 72. The record is from RNAcentral. Lineage: Bacteria; Bacillati; Bacillota; Bacilli; Caryophanales; Bacillaceae.
GUCAGGUGGCAUUAGCGAAGAGGUCACACCCGUUCCCAUCCCGAACACGGCAGUUAAGCUCUUCAGCGCCGAUGGUAGUUGGGGGUUUCCCCCUGUGAGAGCAGGACGCCGCCUGGC